Molecule: ribosomal RNA, 508 nt
Filed under: uncultured bacterium
Lineage: Bacteria
Description: partial 16S ribosomal RNA
Rfam family: Bacterial small subunit ribosomal RNA
Source: RNAcentral
GAUGAACGCUAGCUACAGGCUUAACACAUGCAAGUCGAGGGGAAACGAUAUUGGAAGCUUGCUUCCGAUAGGCGUCGACCGGCGCACGGGUGAGUAACGCGUAUCCAACCUGCCCACCACUUGGGGAUAACCUUGCGAAAGUAAGACUAAUACCCAAUGACGUCCAUAGAAGACAUCUGAAAUGGAUUAAAGAUUUAUCGGUGAUGGAUGGGGAUGCGUCUGAUUAGCUUGUUGGCGGGGUAACGGCCCACCAAGGCGACGAUCAGUAGGGGUUAUGAGACGAAGCACACCAACAUUGGAACUGAGACACGGUCCAAAAGCCUACGGGAGGCAGCAGUGAGGAAUAUUGGUCAAUGGGCGAGAGCCUGAACCAGCCAAGUAGCGUGCAGGUUGACGGCCCUAUGGGUUGUAAACUGCUUUUAUAAGGGAAUAAAGUGAGUCUCGUGAGGCUUUUUGCAUGUACCUUAUGAAUAAGGACCGGCUAAUUCCGUGCCAGCAGCCGCAGUAA